UGCAGAUUUUCCCCAAACAUUCAAAGAUGCAGCUGUUUUCAAGAUUUUAGAUGUGAUUUUUCAGCAAUAACUUCUUUGUUUCUCCACGAAUAACAGUCAAAGAUAAUCUGAAUGCUUAAUGGUGUGAGAAGUCAAUGAAGGCUCAGAAAGACGUUUACGGGGAAUCUUGUGAGAUUAGUUCAUUAGUCCCUACUAAAAAGGAACUAGUCUGUUAUGGAAAGUUCUUUCAAGUUUGUUGUGGAACCAUAUCUUGAAUUUAAUUGUGACGGAAGAUUUGGAGAAAGAUGACGGAGGUAUUGUAAAGAUUGGAGAAGGUGUUAAAACAUAAUAAACAUUCAGAAGGAAGAAUUUUAAAGUUUAUGGAAUGCAUCAAAAAUCUUGGGUAACCAUGUUCAAAAAAGCAUUGUUAUGACAAGGCAAUUCGUUGGAAUUCCACUUAUCUGAUGCUUGAAAGUGUGUUGCUCUAACAACAAGCUUAUAUUCAAUAUAAAUUGAUUGAUACUGAUUUUAAGCAUGGUCUUUCUGAGGAGGAAUGGAAAAGAGUAGAGACGAUUGCUCAAUUUUAGCCAUUUUAUAACAUUACUACAUUGUUCUCUAGAAGCCAAUAUCCAGCUGCUAAUUUAUAUCUACAUAAUGUAUGGAAAAUUCAGAAGCUAUUAGAGGAAGAAAAAGAUAAUUAUGAUUCAGUUAUGAGUGAAAUGGCUACAUCAUUGUUAAAGAAAUUCAAAAAAUAUUGAAAGUCUUACAAUAUGAUACUAUCACUAGCUAUUGUUCUCGAUCCUCGAUAUAAUCUUAAGUUUUUGAAAUUUAUCUUUUGUAAAAUUGAUCUUUAGACUGUUGAAGAAAAGGUAAAAGUCGUUAAAUAUCAUUUACAUUUGUUAUUCAAAGAAUAUUCUGUACCUUCAACCUCAAUUUCCUUGUAGAGGGAAACUAGUCCUGAAAUGAGGCAUGAACUUGAGGAGUUUGAUAAUCAAUUUGAGUGUGGUAAAACUAAAACACAACUGAAUUUGUACCUGGAGGAGCCUAAUCUUGUCCAUAAAGUAAAUUCAGAUUUGGAUGUACUUGCCUAUUGGAAAGAAAGUAGACUAAGGUAUCUUGAACUCUCAUUGAUGGAAAUAGACGUCUUGAGCAUACCUAUUACCACAGUAGCCUCUGAAUCAACCUUUAGCAUUGGAGGUCGUAUUAUUUGAAAAUUUACGAGUUCUAUUUCACCUGCAAAUGCAAAGGCGAACUUAUGAACUAGAGAUUGGCUUUGUUUUCAAGAAGGUUGUAAUGAAUCUGAUUCCGAUGAUGAUGAGAUUGGGGUAGACCUCCAGCCGUAUUUUGGUAGAGUGCAUCAUGCCUGCAAUUGAUUGUUUAUGUUGACAUUCUUCAGACGAAGUGUUUGAUGGUAAAUACAUUUUCUUCUUCUUAUAGGUGCUGUUGUAACAACUACAUUUAGCUUCUUCUACAUUUAGAUUUUUUUGGCUACGUAAAAGGUGAAUCAUUCUAAAGUCAUUGUUGGAAUACUUUGUUAUAAAUUCGAACUCUGUCUAGUGAUUGUUGUCAUAAAUGUCUUAAAUUGUUCUUCAAGUUUGAAGUUGAAAUCAUUUUCAGUGCUAAGUGCACCCAAAAGAAUUGGACUUCAACAAUUUCUUUUAAAAAGCUGCUUUUGUGGAUAUGAGGUUAUAAUAUAACUGUA
Molecule: long non-coding RNA, 1681 nt
Organism: Solanum dulcamara
Lineage: Eukaryota; Viridiplantae; Streptophyta; Magnoliopsida; Solanales; Solanaceae
Exons: 4
Source: RefSeq, a predicted model, not a curated record